Molecule: long non-coding RNA, 837 nt
Organism: Micropterus salmoides (largemouth bass)
Lineage: Eukaryota; Metazoa; Chordata; Actinopteri; Centrarchiformes; Centrarchidae
Exons: 4
Source: RefSeq, a predicted model, not a curated record
CCAGAACAGAAGAGGACGUCAUAACUCCACCUUACAUCUGAUUGUUGUGGCAGAUAAAACAGAAAUGAUAAUAAUUAUCAUCACAUUGACUCUGGUGGUUGUGAUGCUGAUUCCUCUGCUUCUGGUUUGUCUGUGGUUGAGAAAGAAGAAAACUCUAAGCUGCACCGCUGAACCGAUAGAGACUUUAGAGUUGGAGUCUGAUCCGGUUUAUACAUCUCAGCCUUGAAACAAAACUGUAUGUGACUUUCUUCUGAUGCAAUCAAACCAGAGGGGACUCACCUGGAUGGAAGGAGAAGUACAGCAUUGAAGUAGUCAGUGGAGAACAGGGGGCUGUGGAGGAUGAGGAUACAUUUACCUUUAACUGCAAACAUUUUCAUUUUUAGUUUUCAUUAGCAGCAGCAGGUAGACGUCAGCUGCAGCAUGUAGCACAAGAUUAGAGUAGAAUGUAAGCUUUAUUGUUACCUGUGCAGGUACAUUACAUAAGUUCAGUAUUUUACUCAGUAUACAAAAUGUUAACAUUUUAAUGUAAUAAAGCGCUUUUAAGAAAUACUUUCACAUCAUACCUGGCCUGUCGGAGAAAGCCAAUAAAGUCUGUUCAAAACAGACACGUCAAACUGGAUUUGACAGCAUGUACAGUCUAUAUUUAAACACUGAAAUCAAACAGAAGAGAUAGAAGAUAGAAAGGUGUCAGAACACAGAGUGAAGUUGUAGCAUGGCUAGAUUAGUUAUGAAUUUUAAUAUUCAUAAAAUCAAAUUUUUUCCUCGUUUCAGGGCACCACCGGAGUUGUUAUAAUCCUAGAGUCUCCGGACCUCUAGGUAGCUUUUAAUAAUUAUACA